GGUUGAAACUCAAAGGAAUUGACGGGGGCCCGCACAAGCGGUGGAUGAUGUGGUUUAAUUCGAUGCAACGCGAAAAACCUUACCCACCUUUGACAUGUAUGGAAGUUUCCAGAGAUGGAUUCGUGCUCGAAAGAGAGCCAUAACACAGGUGCUGCAUGGCUGUCGUCAGCUCGUGUCGUGAGAUGUUGGGUUAAGUCCCGCAACGAGCGCAACCCUUGUCAUUAGUUGCUACAUUUAGUUGGGCACUCUAAUGAGACUGCCGGUGACAAACCGGAGGAAGGUGGGGAUGACGUCAAGUCCUCAUGGCCCUUAUAGGUGGGGCUACACACGUCAUACAAUGGCCGGUACAAAGGGUCGCAAACCCGCGAGGGGGAGCUAAUCCAUCAAAGCCGGUCGUAGUCCGGAUCGCAGUCUGCAACUCGACUGCGUGAAGUCGGAAUCGCUAGUAAUCGUGGAUCAGAAUGUCACGGUGAAUACGUUCCCGGGUCUUGUACACACUGCCCGUCACACCAUGGGAGCGGGUCUCGCCAGAAGUAGGUAGCCUAACCGCAAGGAGGGCGCUUACCACGGCGGGGUUCGUGACUGGGGUGAAGUCGUAACAAGGU
RNAcentral lists this ribosomal RNA (605 nucleotides) under uncultured bacterium. RNAcentral describes it as "bacterial SSU rRNA". It matches the Rfam family "Bacterial small subunit ribosomal RNA", at positions 892 to 1497 of the family's 1533-position model. The record is from RNAcentral.